This 310-nucleotide ribosomal RNA is filed under the name Anaerolineales bacterium. Its description in RNAcentral is "partial 23S ribosomal RNA". It matches the Rfam family "Bacterial large subunit ribosomal RNA", at positions 2613 to 2925 of the family's 2925-position model. The record is from RNAcentral. Lineage: Bacteria; Bacillati; Chloroflexota; Anaerolineae; Anaerolineales.
AGACCGUCGUGAGACAGGUCGGUCUCUAUCCGCUGUGGGCGCAAGGGAUUUGAGAGAAGCUGUCCCUAGUACGAGAGGACCGGGAUGGACAGACCUCUAGUGUGCCAGUUGUUCCGCCAGGGGCAUUGCUGGGUAGCUACGUCUGGCAGAGAUAACCGCUGAAAGCAUCUAAGUGGGAAACUCGUCUCAAGAUUAGAUCCCUCAUCCGUAUGGAGUAAGACCGCUAGAAGACUACUAGUUUGAUAGGCGGCAGGUGUACGCAUAGUAAUAUGUUCAGCCAAGCCGUACUAAUGGUCGAGGGCUUACGAUA